This 729-nucleotide ribosomal RNA is filed under the name Microbacterium sp. RNAcentral's name for it is "bacterial SSU rRNA". It matches the Rfam family "Bacterial small subunit ribosomal RNA", at positions 56 to 794 of the family's 1533-position model. Lineage: Bacteria; Bacillati; Actinomycetota; Actinomycetes; Micrococcales; Microbacteriaceae. The record is from RNAcentral.
UGCAGUCGAACGAUGAAGCCGGAGCUUGCUCUGGUGGAUUAGUGGCGAACGGGUGAGUAACACGUGAGUAACCUGCCCCUGACUCUGGGAUAAGCGCUGGAAACGGCGUCUAAUACCGGAUAUGCGCUGUAACCGCAUGGUUUGCAGCGGGAAAGAUUUAUCGGUUGGGGAUGGACUCGCGGCCUAUCAGCUUGUUGGUGAGGUAAUGGCUCACCAAGGCGUCGACGGGUAGCCGGCCUGAGAGGGUGACCGGCCACACUGGGACUGAGACACGGCCCAGACUCCUACGGGAGGCAGCAGUGGGGAAUAUUGCACAAUGGGCGCAAGCCUGAUGCAGCAACGCCGCGUGAGGGAUGACGGCCUUCGGGUUGUAAACCUCUUUUAGCAGGGAAGAAGCCUUCGGGUGACGGUACCUGCAGAAAAAGCGCCGGCUAACUACGUGCCAGCAGCCGCGGUAAUACGUAGGGCGCAAGCGUUAUCCGGAAUUAUUGGGCGUAAAGAGCUCGUAGGCGGUUUGUCACGUCUGCUGUGAAAACUGGAGGCUCAACCUCCAGCCUGCAGUGGGUACGGGCAGACUAGAGUGCGGUAGGGGAGAUUGGAAUUCCUGGUGUAGCGGUGGAAUGCGCAGAUAUCAGGAGGAACACCGAUGGCGAAGGCAGAUCUCUGGGCCGUUACUGACGCUGAGGAGCGAAAGGGUGGGGAGCAAACAGGCUUAGAUACCCUGGUAGU